This 30-nucleotide non-coding RNA is filed under the name Mus musculus (house mouse). Lineage: Eukaryota; Metazoa; Chordata; Mammalia; Rodentia; Muridae. The record is from RNAcentral.
UGAAGUCUAUUGUGCUUAGGACUACCAAGC